Rosa rugosa (rugosa rose) is the source of this 1529-nucleotide long non-coding RNA. RefSeq lists it as uncharacterized. Lineage: Eukaryota; Viridiplantae; Streptophyta; Magnoliopsida; Rosales; Rosaceae. The transcript is spliced from 3 exons. The record is from RefSeq and is a predicted model, not a curated record.
GCAGAACAAUUGAGAUAGAUCUUACAUAUAACUAGCCUUUUAAGGGGAAAAAAAAAAGCUCUCGGUUUCAGUUCUUCAACAAUAUUCGACUCACAGCAAUGCGACUUCCCCAUAAGAAACUCCGAACAUCAUUACCUCCCAGCAGCGUAUUGCAGCUUAGUUUCAUUGGAUUGGGGUCAUAUCUGGUUUGUUGCACUCAGUAUUUCUUUGCUGGAGAGGAGCUGACUCCAACAUAGAUAGAUGUUCCAGAGGCCAGCCAACAGUAUCCUCUACUUAGAUCAGAAGAGCUCCAUUUGCAAAUUGCAAGCUGGUAGUUAUUUUGUUACUAAACUAAGAUGGAUAAGUUCAACUGACUUGUCAGUGAUGCCCAUUUAUGAUGCAUGUUCAUCUUCUAAUAUGUUUCCAUUUCAUUUUAUUAGUUAAUUUGGAUUUUUUCUUUCACCUUUUAAAUGUUUUAUCAUUUACUCAAUGCUUAUGGCUUAUGCUGCUCAGGUUUUCAUUUUAUUCAGCGAUAGUUCAAUGUACAUCCUUUGUCCAAUUGUUUCAUUUGAAAGGUACUUUAUUCCUCAUGUCCUGCCCUUUUGCAUUCUAGUCCUAAUUUAUUUAUUUUUUAGUCUUUGGAUUUUGUCCCUCUAAAUCUGCCUCUGUGUGUGUGAAUAUAUAUAUUUGACAGAUUAGCAUGGUCUUAUAAACAGAUCAAUCAAAACAAUUUGGCCAAUUUUCUCUUCACCUAUAUCUUUUGUCUGUGUGAGUAAGAUGUUUUGAUGUUUUGUUGUAAUUUAUGAGGUUCUGAAUUACAUGUUAACUGAUAUUUAUAUUGGAGUGUUUUAUUUUAUACUAGGAAUCGAUAGUAGAUAUAUAUAAUGAUGCCCAGACUUUUGGCCUAAAGUCACUCAACUCAACUGCUGUUAGUAAUUCAAAUCUAGCUAUUUCUUGGUUGGAAGCAACAUUUCCAGAAUUGCAGGGCAAACAGAUGGCGCUAAUCUAUAUGUAAUAAGAGCUAGUCUUUAUGCUUUUAUUUGAUACCACUCCCUAUGCUAGACCGAGAGACUGGUGGAUCAUUCAGAGGCUAGCCAUGUAGUCCGUAAUCUGUGGGGAUAGGUUGUAUAGAAAAGUUAACCCGGUUGCAUCACUCAUUGCAGGUAACUGUAUUUUCUUACAUAUAGCAGAUCUAUGGAUGUUGUGUGUGAAUUAGCAAUGUCAAGCAAGGCAUGACAUAUCCAUGUAAAACAAGCCAAUUCAUGAUUCACACACUAUUUUGUGUCAGUUCAGAAUUUCCAAUUGCAAGGAGAGACUCUCUUCAACGCUCCCUGUUUGGGAAUAUGUAUCUACCACCGCCAGCACUCUUGUGCUUAGGUCUGAUAUGAUUGGGAAUAGUUUUUGAUUUCUUUUUGUUACUAGAACUGCAUGAGAAUCUUUAUGGCAGAAUGUUUGCAAAGUCAUUCACUCAAUAAAUUUCAAUUAUGAAAGCAUUGUAAAUGUGAUUACUUGAAGUAGUUCUCUAUUAAUAUAUUGCAAUUUUAUUUCAA